UUGCAUAGUAACAAAAGUGAUCAU
Molecule: microRNA, 24 nt
Filed under: Ciona intestinalis (vase tunicate)
Lineage: Eukaryota; Metazoa; Chordata; Ascidiacea; Phlebobranchia; Cionidae
Description: Cin-Mir-153_3p (mature (guide))
Source: RNAcentral